This 269-nucleotide ribosomal RNA is filed under the name unidentified marine bacterioplankton. Its description in RNAcentral is "partial 16S ribosomal RNA". It matches the Rfam family "Bacterial small subunit ribosomal RNA", at positions 75 to 339 of the family's 1533-position model. The record is from RNAcentral.
AGUAGCAAUACUGGUGAAGAUCUAGCGGCGAACGGGUGAGUAACACGUGAGAAACCUGCCCCGAAACUCUGGGAUAACACGAGGAAACCCGUGCUAAUACCGGAUACCUUCUUUUGGCCGCAUGGUCAGAUGAAGAAAGAUUUAUCGGUUUGGGAGGGUCUCGCGGCCUAUCAGCUAGUUGGUGGGGUAAUGGCCUACCAAGCCGACGAUCCAUAGCUGGUUUGAGAGGAUGAUCAGCCACACUGGGACUGAGACACGGCCCAGACUCC